GUGCUUUCCAUAAUUAAUUUUUUUUGUUUCAUUAUUGUUCUGUGGUUGUGUACUUCUGUACUAUGUGCUUUCUUUACUACCAGAAGCUAAAUUUAAUAUCGUUUUAUAAGCAACAAGAAUAUGACAGUACAUCAUAUAGAUCAGGAAACUGGGGAGUGAAGAAUAAUAAAAGAAAUGCAAUCUGAUCCUGCCAGCAGUGAAAGGGCGAGGUAAUUUACACACACUUGAGUAUUCUUGUGCUGAAGAGAAUGUGGGAAAUUGACGUAAACUAUUGUUAAG
Molecule: non-coding RNA, 279 nt
Organism: Delphinapterus leucas (beluga whale)
Lineage: Eukaryota; Metazoa; Chordata; Mammalia; Artiodactyla; Monodontidae
Source: RefSeq, a predicted model, not a curated record